AAGGGACCUAGCGUAGUUCGGAAUUACUGGGCUUAAAGAGUUCGUAGGUGGUUGAAAAAGUUGGUGGUGAAAUCCCAGAGCUUAACUCUGGAACUGCCAUCAAAACUUUUCAGCUAGAGUAUGAUAGAGGAAAGCAGAAUUUCUAGUGUAGAGGUGAAAUUCGUAGAUAUUAGAAAGAAUACCAAUUGCGAAGGCAGCUUUCUGGAUCAUUACUGACACUGAGGAACGAAAGCAUGGGUAGCGAAGAGGAUUAGAUACCCUCGUAGUCCAUGCCGUAAACGAUGUGUGUUAGACGUUGGAAAUUUAUUUUCAGUGUCGCAGGGAAACCGAUAAACACACCGCCUGGGGAGUACGACCGCAAGGUUAAAACUCAAAUGAAUUGACGGGGACCCGCACAAGUAGUGGAGCAUGUGGUUUAAAUCGAAGAUACGCGCAGAACCUUACCAACACUUGACAUGUUCGUCGCGACUCUAAGAGAUUAGAGUUUUCGGUUCGGCCGGACGAAACACAGGUGCUGCAUGGCUGUCGUCAGCUCGUGUCGUGAGAUGUUGGGUUAAGUCCCGCAACGAGCGCAACCCUCACUUUUAGUUGCCAUCAUUAAGUUGGGCACUCUGAAAGAACUGCCAGUGAUAAGCUGGAGGAAGGUGGGGAUGACGUCAAGUCCUCAUGGCCCUUACGUGUUGGGCUACACACGUGCUACAAUGGCAUCUACAACAGGAAGCAAAACGGCAACGUUAAGCAAAUCCCGAAAAGAUGCCUCAGUUCGGAUUGCACUCUGCAACUCGAGUGCAUGAAGCUGGAAUUACUAGUAAUCGUGGAUCAGCGUGCCACGGUGAAUGCGUUCCCGGGUCUUGUACACACCGCCCGUCACACCAUGGGAGUUGGUUCUACCUUAAGGCGAGGUUUUAAACCCUUGACCACGGUAUAGUCAGCGACUGGGGUGAAGUCGUAACAAGGUAGCCGUAGGGGAACCUGCGGCUGGAUUACCUCCUUUCUAAGGAUGAGUGAAAGAGAAAAAUUUCACUCUAAAUAAUAUACAUCGGUAAUGUUGACCGUCCUCAUUUCUCUUCUUAAAGUAAUGUUUCCUUCUUGUAGGGCCGGUAGCUCAGUUGGUUAGAGCACACCCUUGAUAAGGGUGGGGUCGAAAGUUCGAGUCUUUCUCGGCCCACUAAAAACCUAAAUGGGGGGAUUAGCUCAUCUGGGAGAGCGCCUGAUUUGCAUUCAGGAGGUAGCAGGUUCGAUCCCUGUAUCCUCCACCAGGAAACAUUUAGUUAUUAAAACUGUAAAUAAAAAUAAUUUAUAUCAAUAUCUAUAUCCGAACAUUAAAAAUUAUUAUUUAAUGUUCAAAAUAAAAAUUUGAUCACAACAUAGAUAAAUUUUUUUUAAAAAGAAUUUUUUUCUGUGCAUAAAUCAAGCGUUUAAGGGCGUGUAGUGGAUGCCUUGGCACUGAAAGCCGAUGAAGGACGUGAUAUACUGCGAUAAGCUUCGGGGAGCUGUAUGUAAGCUUUGAUCCGAAAAUUU
This 1521-nucleotide small RNA is filed under the name uncultured Arctic sea ice bacterium. RNAcentral's name for it is "bacterial SSU rRNA". The stretch from base 1 to 994 matches the Rfam family "Bacterial small subunit ribosomal RNA", at positions 528 to 1533 of the family's 1533-position model. The record is from RNAcentral.